This 550-nucleotide ribosomal RNA is filed under the name uncultured Chlorophyta. RNAcentral describes it as "SSU rRNA". It matches the Rfam family "Eukaryotic small subunit ribosomal RNA", at positions 594 to 1154 of the family's 1831-position model. Lineage: Eukaryota; Viridiplantae; Chlorophyta. The record is from RNAcentral.
AUAGCGUAUAUUUAAGUUGUUGCAGUUAAAAAGCUCGUAGUUGGAUUUCGGUUAAGAGCGACCGGUCCGCCGUUUGGUGUGCACUGGUUGGUUUUAACUUCCUGUAGAGGACGUGCUCUGGGCUUAACGGUCUGGACUCGGAGUCUACGUGGUUACUUUGAAAAAAUUAGAGUGUUCAAAGCGGGCUUACGCUUGAAUAUUUCAGCAUGGAAUAACACUAUAGGACUCCUGUCCUAUUUCGUUGGUCUCGGGACGGGAGUAAUGAUUAAGAGGAACAGUUGGGGGCAUUCGUAUUUCAUUGUCAGAGGUGAAAUUCUUGGAUUUAUGAAAGACGAACUUCUGCGAAAGCAUUUGCCAAGGAUGUUUUCAUUAAUCAAGAACGAAAGUUGGGGGCUCGAAGAUGAUUAGAUACCAUCCUAGUCUCAACCAUAAACGAUGCCGACUAGGGAUUGACGGAUGUUAAUUGAUGACUCCGCCAGCACCUUAUGAGAAAUCAAAGUUUUUGGGUUCCGGGGGGAGUAUGGUCGCAAGGCUGAAACUUAAAGGAAUU